RNAcentral lists this ribosomal RNA (1337 nucleotides) under uncultured bacterium. RNAcentral describes it as "bacterial SSU rRNA". It matches the Rfam family "Bacterial small subunit ribosomal RNA", at positions 28 to 1381 of the family's 1533-position model. The record is from RNAcentral.
GACGAACGCUGGCGGCGUGCUUAACACAUGCAAGUCGAACGGAAAGGCCCUUCGGGGUACUCGAGUGGCGAACGGGUGAGUAACACGUGGGUGAUCUGCCCUGCACUUUGGGAUAAGCCUGGGAAACUGGGUCUAAUACCGAAUAGGACCACGCGCUUCAUGGUGUGUGGUGGAAAGCUUUUGCGGUGUGGGAUGGGCCCGCGGCCUAUCAGCUUGUUGGUGGGGUAAUGGCCUACCAAGGCGACGACGGGUAGCCGGCCUGAGAGGGUGACCGGCCACACUGGGACUGAGAUACGGCCCAGACCCCUACGGGAGGCAGCAGUGGGGAAUAUUGCACAAUGGGCGCAAGCCUGAUGCAGCGACGCCGCGUGAGGGAUGACGGCCUUCGGGUUGUAAACCUCUUUCAAUAGGGACGAAGCGCAAGUGACGGUACCUAUAGAAGAAGCACCGGCCAACUACGUGCCAGCAGCCGCGGUAAUACGUAGGGUGCGAGCGUUGUCCGGAAUUACUGGGCGUAAAGAGCUCGUAGGUGGUUUGUCGCGUUGUUCGUGAAAACUCACAGCUUAACUGUGGGCGUGCGGGCGAUACGGGCAGACUAGAGUACUGCAGGGGAGACUGGAAUUCCUGGUGUAGCGGUGGAAUGCGCGGAUAUCAGGAGGAACACCGGUGGCGAAGGCGGGUCUCUGGGCAGUAACUGACGCUGAGGAGCGAAAGCGUGGGGAGCGAACAGGAUUAGAUACCCUGGUAGUCCACGCCGUAAACGGUGGGUACUAGGUGUGGGUUCCUUCCUUGGGAUCCGUGCCGUAGCUAACGCAUUAAGUACCCCGCCUGGGGAGUACGGCCGCAAGGCUAAAACUCAAAGGAAUUGACGGGGGCCCGCACAAGCGGCGGAGCAUGUGGAUUAAUUCGAUGCAACGCGAAGAACCUUACCUGGGUUUGACAUGCACAGGACGCCGGCAGAGAUGUCGGUUCCCUUGUGGCCUGUGUGCAGGUGGUGCAUGGCUGUCGUCAGCUCGUGUCGUGAGAUGUUGGGUUAAGUCCCGCAACGAGCGCAACCCUUGUCCUAUGUUGCCAGCGGGUUAUGCCGGGGACUCGUAGGAGACUGCCGGGGUCAACUCGGAGGAAGGUGGGGAUGACGUCAAGUCAUCAUGCCCCUUAUGUCCAGGGCUUCACACAUGCUACAAUGGCCGGUACAAAGGGCUGCGAUGCCGUGAGGUGGAGCGAAUCCUUUCAAAGCCGGUCUCAGUUCGGAUCGGGGUCUGCAACUCGACCCCGUGAAGUCGGAGUCGCUAGUAAUCGCAGAUCAGCAACGCUGCGGUGAAUACGUUCCCGGGCCU